This 53-nucleotide non-coding RNA is filed under the name Bradyrhizobium sp. Its description in RNAcentral is "Guanidine-II sequence". It matches the Rfam family "Guanidine-II riboswitch aptamer (mini-ykkC)". Rfam says of the family: Simpler in structure and has fewer highly conserved nucleotide positions than the ykkC-yxkD leader. Despite this each of its two stem-loop structures directly bind free guanidine. Lineage: Bacteria; Pseudomonadati; Pseudomonadota; Alphaproteobacteria; Hyphomicrobiales; Nitrobacteraceae. The record is from RNAcentral.
UGGGAAGGACGGCCUUCCCGCUCGUCAGCAUAUCAGCCGCGGGGACGACCCUG